GAUGAACGCUGGCGGCGUGCCUAAUACAUGCAAGUCGAGCGAACAGACGAGGAGCUUGCUCCUCUGACGUUAGCGGCGGACGGGUGAGUAACACGUGGAUAACCUACCUAUAAGACUGGGAUAACUUCGGGAAACCGGAGCUAAUACCGGAUAAUAUAUUGAACCGCAUGGUUCAAUAGUGAAAGACGGUUUUGCUGUCACUUAUAGAUGGAUCCGCGCCGCAUUAGCUAGUUGGUAAGGUAACGGCUUACCAAGGCGACGAUGCGUAGCCGACGUGAGAGGGUGAUCGGCCACACUGGAACUGGGACACGGUCCAGACUCCUACGGGAGGCAGCAGUAGGGAAUCUUCCGCAAUGGGCGAAAGCCUGACGGAGCAACGCCGCGUGAGUGAUGAAGGUCUUCGGAUCGUAAAACUCUGUUAUUAGGGAAGAACAAAUGUGUAAGUAACUAUGCACGUCUUGACGGUACCUAAUCAGAAAGCCACGGCUAACUACGUG
RNAcentral lists this ribosomal RNA (497 nucleotides) under uncultured bacterium. Its description in RNAcentral is "partial 16S ribosomal RNA". It matches the Rfam family "Bacterial small subunit ribosomal RNA", at positions 28 to 507 of the family's 1533-position model. The record is from RNAcentral.